RNAcentral lists this ribosomal RNA (198 nucleotides) under uncultured bacterium. RNAcentral's name for it is "partial 16S ribosomal RNA". It matches the Rfam family "Bacterial small subunit ribosomal RNA", at positions 328 to 539 of the family's 1533-position model. The record is from RNAcentral.
ACGCUCGACACCUACGAGAGGCAGCAGUGGGGAAUAUUGCACAAUGGGGGAAACCCUGAUGCAGCAACGCCGCGUGAGUGAAGAAGUAUUUCGGUAUGUAAAGCUCUAUCAGCAGGGAAGAAAAUGACAGUACCUGACUAAGAAGCCCCGGCUAACUACGUGCCGGCAGCCGCGGUAAUCUGAGCGGGCUGGCAAGGC